GUUUCAGGGCGAGGUGGAAAUCCUCACUGGCGGUAAGCACGGCGGCGGACACGAGCCGCCCGCAAGCCCGCGACCCUGCGCGAGAGUGCAGGCUGACCCGGUGAAAUUCCGGGGCCAACGGUCACAGUCCGGAUGGAAGAGG
Molecule: non-coding RNA, 142 nt
Filed under: Adlercreutzia equolifaciens subsp. celatus
Lineage: Bacteria; Bacillati; Actinomycetota; Coriobacteriia; Eggerthellales; Eggerthellaceae
Description: FMN riboswitch (RFN element)
Rfam family: FMN riboswitch aptamer (RFN element)
About the family: The RFN element is a highly conserved domain that is found frequently in the 5'-untranslated regions of prokaryotic mRNAs that encode for flavin mononucleotide (FMN) biosynthesis and transport proteins. This element is a metabolite-dependent riboswitch that directly binds FMN in the absence of proteins.
Source: RNAcentral